UAUAGUAUAAUUUAAAAAAAAUAUUAAUUUGAUGUAUUAAAAAUAUCAUAGAUUACUAUAU
RNAcentral lists this transfer RNA (61 nucleotides) under unidentified. RNAcentral's name for it is "Spelaeomysis bottazzii tRNA-Ile". The record is from RNAcentral.